Molecule: long non-coding RNA, 1932 nt
Organism: Prinia subflava (tawny-flanked prinia)
Lineage: Eukaryota; Metazoa; Chordata; Aves; Passeriformes; Cisticolidae
Exons: 3
Source: RefSeq, a predicted model, not a curated record
CGGCACUCCGGGUUCGGUCAGGACACCCUUGGUACAGGAUCCGACACCGGCCUUGGCGUCUUCAGAGCGGGCACUCCUGGUUCGGACAGGACACCCCCAGUACCAUCUUUCUCUGUUCUGCAAAUCCUUAGCCCAGAAGCUCUUCACUGCAGAAUGAGGAGUGGGCCUGCUCUCAAAGGAAGACAACUUGGCACUUGUAGGGAUUUUCAAUUCUCAAGGAAACUGGAAGUCAACUGACUGGAGCAGAAGAGCUAAUCACUGAGAGGAGACUACAAAAGUCACUCGUCCUCUGCAGAUUUUAAGGCUCCAGAUUCGCCCCGGUGCUUCUGCCAGCUGCGAGAGGGGACGGGGACUCUGUGAGACAAAGUUCUGCUGCAUGUACAGCUUUUUUCUGCUUUCAAAACGUAGGGCUUGUAGUUGAGAUGAAGCCAUAGGAGGGCUCAUAAGAUGGUUUUAUUUCCCUCUCAAAACAGGGCUCAAUAAUGUCAGGAGUCGCAGGAUCUCAUGCAGCGUUCCGUGAAACACAAUGUGAGUGUUUCCAACUGAGAUUCAACUUCACUGGGUCGCUGUGGUGUGUUUUAAUGAUGUUACUUUGCACCAGGCUGUGGGAUUAGUGCUUAUUCCUGGAUAUUACCAGUGAGACAUUUGCAGUCUUAAAAGCAAGGAAUUACACGUAUCUUGCUUGGGGAAAAAAAGGAGGUAAAUUUUUUGAUGGGGAGCAAGGGAAAGAAUUAAUUUGCAUAGUUCUGAGAUCAGUUCCUAAAAAGUGCAGUAAUAAAAGGCUACCACCAGAUGUCAUCUUAAAGCCAGCUAAUAGAUCCCGAAACAGCAGGGACGGGGAUACUGAGAAUAGCGAGUUACUGGGGUUUUUAAUGGGAUACAAAGUCUCAGGGAUCAUUGGAAUCUAACAUGGUGAAGGACCCCGGAGAUGUUCCAGAGCUGACUUUGCAAAAUCUUGCUGAGAUAAAUCCCAGCAAAAUAAAAAGCACUGCAAUUUAACUUAAAAAAAAAAAAAAAAUCCUAAAGAAAAAUCGUGCUAAACCCCCCUAUUCUGAUACUCAAUUCUGCUUGAAUAUAGAGAGAAGAGACUGAUGGUUCUGGGUAGUUCCAUCUGCUUUGUCACUCAUUAAAAUGUGAUGAAUACAAUAAUAAUUUUUUAAUGACUUAAUUACCAAAGCUUUGCUGCACCCUGUGUUUGAGCUGUCAUUAGAACAGAUGUUUGCAGGUGGUUGAUAUCUAACAUUUGUGAGUGCGGGAAAAUUUUGUGUGAAGAAAAUCCAGGAGGAAAUUAAGAAAACAAGAUGUUUUUGCCCACACAAAAAGUACUUUGUUACCUGUGCAAAGAUGAUUAUAUUUUUUGUAGUUAAACCUAUGGGGAAAGUUUCACUAUUGAUUGAAAUUCUGAGACUAAAUUUAAUCAAGAUUUUGCAAAUAGAGAGAUUUUAAUCCAACUGUAAGAAUAAGUCUUUGUUCAGUAUUUAGAGCUGGUGCUAAUUUGUCCAAUAUCAAACUGCCUCAAGCUGAGUGAGAUCAUGUUGAAAAGACUAGAUGUAAAAUUAAUGAUGAACGACAAUGAGAAAACUUAUGACUAAUAUGAUAUGGCAAAGCUGAGCGACACAUUCUUGUCCAGGACUUUUUUAGUUACAACUCCUCUGGUUUUUAACUGCUUGGGAUUUGGUUAUUCUAUCCAAAACUGUAUAGUAAAUGAAUUUUGUUUGUUGAAGAGUUUCAGUAAAAAUAGCUCUGCCGCUGCCAAAGAUGAGGUCAGGGGGAAAAAAUCAGCCUCUCGCCAAUGUAAAGCAAAACCAAAUCCCCUCACAAGUGUUUAAUGAGACGUUCUCGUCCUGCCGUGCUUUGGAAGGGGUACUUGGAAUCUGGCAGUGCGUCGCAGCAGGAAGAAAGGUAUCUUUUCCCAUACCUGUUACAGGCUGC